This 160-nucleotide ribosomal RNA is filed under the name uncultured Gammaproteobacteria bacterium. Its description in RNAcentral is "partial 16S ribosomal RNA". It matches the Rfam family "Bacterial small subunit ribosomal RNA", at positions 355 to 507 of the family's 1533-position model. The record is from RNAcentral. Lineage: Bacteria; Pseudomonadati; Pseudomonadota; Gammaproteobacteria.
UGGGGAAUAUUGGACAAUGGGCGCAAGCCUGAUCCAGCAAUGCCGCGUGUGUGAAGAAGGCCUUCGGGUUGUAAAGCACUUUAAGUUGGGAGGAAAGCCUUUUCAUUAAUACUGAAGAGGGGUGACGUUACCAACAGAAUAAGCACCGGCUAACUCCGUG